Molecule: ribosomal RNA, 250 nt
Filed under: uncultured bacterium
Lineage: Bacteria
Description: partial 16S ribosomal RNA
Rfam family: Bacterial small subunit ribosomal RNA
Source: RNAcentral
UACGGGGGGGGCAAGCGUUGUUCGGAAUUACUGGGCGUAAAGGCUCGUAGGCGGCCAACUAAGUCGGAUGUGAAAGUCCUGGGCUUAACUGGGACUGCAUUUGAUACUGAUUGGCUUGAAUGCAGAAGAGGAAAGCGGAAUUCCACGUGUAGCGGUGAAAUGCGUAGAGAUGUGGAGGAACACCAGUGGCGAAGGCGGCUUUCUGGUCUGUAACUGACGCUGAGGCGCGAAAGCGUGGGGAGCAAACAGG